UCUCCGUAGGUGAACCUGCGGAGGGAUCAUUACAGAGUUCAUGCCCUAACGGGUAGAUCUCCCACCCUAUGUUAUCAUCACUUUGUUGCUUUGGCGGGCCGUCAGGCCUCGGCUUGGCUACCGGCUCUCGCUGGUAAGCGCCCGCCAGAGAAUCCCAAACCCUGAAUAUCAGUGUCGUCUGAGUACUAUAUAAUAGUUAAAACUUUCAACAACGGAUCUCUUGGUUCUG
RNAcentral lists this unclassified non-coding RNA (229 nucleotides) under plant metagenome. RNAcentral's name for it is "partial contains small subunit ribosomal RNA, internal transcribed spacer 1, and 5.8S ribosomal RNA". The record is from RNAcentral.